RNAcentral lists this ribosomal RNA (2903 nucleotides) under Shigella boydii. Its description in RNAcentral is "bacterial LSU rRNA". It matches the Rfam family "Bacterial large subunit ribosomal RNA". The record is from RNAcentral. Lineage: Bacteria; Pseudomonadati; Pseudomonadota; Gammaproteobacteria; Enterobacterales; Enterobacteriaceae.
NNNNNNNNNNNNNNNNNNNNNNNNNNNNNNNUGGCAGUCAGAGGCGAUGAAGGACGUGCUAAUCUGCGAUAAGCGUCGGUAAGGUGAUAUGAACCGUUAUAACCGGCGAUUUCCGAAUGGGGAAACCCAGUGUGUUUCGACACACUAUCAUUAACUGAAUCCAUAGGUUAAUGAGGCGAACCGGGGGAACUGAAACAUCUAAGUACCCCGAGGAAAAGAAAUCAACCGAGAUUCCCCCAGUAGCGGCGAGCGAACGGGGAGCAGCCCAGAGCCUGAAUCAGUGUGUGUGUUAGUGGAAGCGUCUGGAAAGGCGCGCGAUACAGGGUGACAGCCCCGUACACAAAAAUGCACAUGCUGUGAGCUCGAUGAGUAGGGCGGGACACGUGGUAUCCUGUCUGAAUAUGGGGGGACCAUCCUCCAAGGCUAAAUACUCCUGACUGACCGAUAGUGAACCAGUACCGUGAGGGAAAGGCGAAAAGAACCCCGGCGAGGGGAGUGAAAAAGAACCUGAAACCGUGUACGUACAAGCAGUGGGAGCACGCUUAGGCGUGUGACUGCGUACCUUUUGUAUAAUGGGUCAGCGACUUAUAUUCUGUAGCAAGGUUAACCGAAUAGGGGAGCCGAAGGGAAACCGAGUCUUAACUGGGCGUUAAGUUGCAGGGUAUAGACCCGAAACCCGGUGAUCUAGCCAUGGGCAGGUUGAAGGUUGGGUAACACUAACUGGAGGACCGAACCGACUAAUGUUGAAAAAUUAGCGGAUGACUUGUGGCUGGGGGUGAAAGGCCAAUCAAACCGGGAGAUAGCUGGUUCUCCCCGAAAGCUAUUUAGGUAGCGCCUCGUGAAUUCAUCUCCGGGGGUAGAGCACUGUUUCGGCAAGGGGGUCAUCCCGACUUACCAACCCGAUGCAAACUGCGAAUACCGGAGAAUGUUAUCACGGGAGACACACGGCGGGUGCUAACGUCCGUCGUGAAGAGGGAAACAACCCAGACCGCCAGCUAAGGUCCCAAAGUCAUGGUUAAGUGGGAAACGAUGUGGGAAGGCCCAGACAGCCAGGAUGUUGGCUUAGAAGCAGCCAUCAUUUAAAGAAAGCGUAAUAGCUCACUGGUCGAGUCGGCCUGCGCGGAAGAUGUAACGGGGCUAAACCAUGCACCGAAGCUGCGGCAGCGACACUAUGUGUUGUUGGGUAGGGGAGCGUUCUGUAAGCCUGUGAAGGUGUGCUGUGAGGCAUGCUGGAGGUAUCAGAAGUGCGAAUGCUGACAUAAGUAACGAUAAAGCGGGUGAAAAGCCCGCUCGCCGGAAGACCAAGGGUUCCUGUCCAACGUUAAUCGGGGCAGGGUGAGUCGACCCCUAAGGCGAGGCCGAAAGGCGUAGUCGAUGGGAAACAGGUUAAUAUUCCUGUACUUGGUGUUACUGCGAAGGGGGGACGGAGAAGGCUAUGUUGGCCGGGCGACGGUUGUCCCGGUUUAAGCGUGUAGGCUGGUUUUCCAGGCAAAUCCGGAAAAUCAAGGCUGAGGCGUGAUGACGAGGCACUACGGUGCUGAAGCAACAAAUGCCCUGCUUCCAGGAAAAGCCUCUAAGCAUCAGGUAACAUCAAAUCGUACCCCAAACCGACACAGGUGGUCAGGUAGAGAAUACCAAGGCGCUUGAGAGAACUCGGGUGAAGGAACUAGGCAAAAUGGUGCCGUAACUUCGGGAGAAGGCACGCUGAUAUGUAGGUGAAGUCCCUCGCGGAUGGAGCUGAAAUCAGUCGAAGAUACCAGCUGGCUGCAACUGUUUAUUAAAAACACAGCACUGUGCAAACACGAAAGUGGACGUAUACGGUGUGACGCCUGCCCGGUGCCGGAAGGUUAAUUGAUGGGGUUAGCCGCAAGGCGAAGCUCUUGAUCGAAGCCCCGGUAAACGGCGGCCGUAACUAUAACGGUCCUAAGGUAGCGAAAUUCCUUGUCGGGUAAGUUCCGACCUGCACGAAUGGCGUAAUGAUGGCCAGGCUGUCUCCACCCGAGACUCAGUGAAAUUGAACUCGCUGUGAAGAUGCAGUGUACCCGCGGCAAGACGGAAAGACCCCGUGAACCUUUACUAUAGCUUGACACUGAACAUUGAGCCUUGAUGUGUAGGAUAGGUGGGAGGCUUUGAAGUGUGGACGCCAGUCUGCAUGGAGCCGACCUUGAAAUACCACCCUUUAAUGUUUGAUGUUCUAACGUUGACCCGUAAUCCGGGUUGCGGACAGUGUCUGGUGGGUAGUUUGACUGGGGCGGUCUCCUCCUAAAGAGUAACGGAGGAGCACGAAGGUUGGCUAAUCCUGGUCGGACAUCAGGAGGUUAGUGCAAUGGCAUAAGCCAGCUUGACUGCGAGCGUGACGGCGCGAGCAGGUGCGAAAGCAGGUCAUAGUGAUCCGGUGGUUCUGAAUGGAAGGGCCAUCGCUCAACGGAUAAAAGGUACUCCGGGGAUAACAGGCUGAUACCGCCCAAGAGUUCAUAUCGACGGCGGUGUUUGGCACCUCGAUGUCGGCUCAUCACAUCCUGGGGCUGAAGUAGGUCCCAAGGGUAUGGCUGUUCGCCAUUUAAAGUGGUACGCGAGCUGGGUUUAGAACGUCGUGAGACAGUUCGGUCCCUAUCUGCCGUGGGCGCUGGAGAACUGAGGGGGGCUGCUCCUAGUACGAGAGGACCGGAGUGGACGCAUCACUGGUGUUCGGGUUGUCAUGCCAAUGGCACUGCCCGGUAGCUAAAUGCGGAAGAGAUAAGUGCUGAAAGCAUCUAAGCACGAAACUUGCCCCGAGAUGAGUUCUCCCUGACUCCUUGAGAGUCCUGAAGGAACGUUGAAGACGACGACGUUGAUAGGCCGGGUGUGUAAGCGCAGCGAUGCGUUGAGCUAACCGGUACUAAUGAACCGUGAGGCUUAACCUU